GGGGAGGGGGGGGUGCUAUAAUGCAAGUCGAGCGAAUGGAUUAAGAGCUUGCUCUUAUGAAGUUAGCGGCGGACGGGUGAGUAACACGUGGGUAACCUGCCCAUAAGACUGGGAUAACUCCGGGAAACCGGGGCUAAUACCGGAUAACAUUUUGAACCGCAUGGUUCGAAAUUGAAAGGCGGCUUCGGCUGUCACUUAUGGAUGGACCCGCGUCGCAUUAGCUAGUUGGUGAGGUAACGGCUCACCAAGGCAACGAUGCGUAGCCGACCUGAGAGGGUGAUCGGCCACACUGGGACUGAGACACGGCCCAGACUCCUACGGGAGGCAGCAGUAGGGAAUCUUCCGCAAUGGACGAAAGUCUGACGGAGCAACGCCGCGUGAGUGAUGAAGGCUUUCGGGUCUAAAACUCUGUUGUUAGGGAAAAACAAUGCUAUUUGAAUAAGCUGGCACUUUGACGGAACUUACCAAAAAGCCCC
RNAcentral lists this ribosomal RNA (476 nucleotides) under Bacillus sp. EGU81. RNAcentral describes it as "bacterial SSU rRNA". It matches the Rfam family "Bacterial small subunit ribosomal RNA", at positions 38 to 494 of the family's 1533-position model. The record is from RNAcentral. Lineage: Bacteria; Bacillati; Bacillota; Bacilli; Caryophanales; Bacillaceae.